Molecule: ribosomal RNA, 519 nt
Filed under: Fusarium oxysporum
Lineage: Eukaryota; Fungi; Ascomycota; Sordariomycetes; Hypocreales; Nectriaceae
Description: eukaryotic LSU rRNA
Rfam family: 5.8S ribosomal RNA (bases 195-348)
Source: RNAcentral
AAGUCGUAACAAGGUCUCCGUUGGUGAACCAGCGGAGGGAUCAUUACCGAGUUUACAACUCCCAAACCCCUGUGAACAUACCACUUGUUGCCUCGGCGGAUCAGCCCGCUCCCGGUAAAACGGGACGGCCCGCCAGAGGACCCCUAAACUCUGUUUCUAUAUGUAACUUCUGAGUAAAACCAUAAAUAAAUCAAAACUUUCAACAACGGAUCUCUUGGUUCUGGCAUCGAUGAAGAACGCAGCAAAAUGCGAUAAGUAAUGUGAAUUGCAGAAUUCAGUGAAUCAUCGAAUCUUUGAACGCACAUUGCGCCCGCCAGUAUUCUGGCGGGCAUGCCUGUUCGAGCGUCAUUUCAACCCUCAAGCACAGCUUGGUGUUGGGACUCGCGUUAAUUCGCGUUCCCCAAAUUGAUUGGCGGUCACGUCGAGCUUCCAUAGCGUAGUAGUAAAACCCUCGUUACUGGUAAUCGUCGCGGCCACGCCGUUAAACCCCAACUUCUGAAUGUUGACCUCGGAUCAGGU